Molecule: long non-coding RNA, 2245 nt
Filed under: Bemisia tabaci
Lineage: Eukaryota; Metazoa; Arthropoda; Insecta; Hemiptera; Aleyrodidae
Description: lncRNA ENSSSA2NGG006008
Source: RNAcentral
UCAAAAAGACCGCGCUAGAUGAACCAAAACAAACAUUUUGAAACGGGUAGUAUCAAAUCAAUGACGCAAUGUUUGUUGAUUUUUGUUGAGGUUCUAAAGGUUGGAGCUUUCAGCGCUUCGUGUGCUUUCAGUAAUUCAAACAUUUCAAUCAUUAUCUUUGAGGAUCUGUUAUCAGUGAAACCAUGUGAUUGAACUUAAACUUUUUUAAUCUCGCAUCCUUUUCUUGAUGAAGAUUUCUUUGUGAUCGUGUAGUGAGCGUUAUCACUGUUAUCGUAGUUUGACCAGUUUGGCUUAUAAAAAGCACUAUACAGUUUCCUUGGAAAAUGCCGAAUAACGUUUCCAAAAGAAAUUCACGGUCUGGCAAAUCGAAAACGGGGCAGUAUUCCUAUUCUCAAUCCACUUUACCAGUCCCUGGCUCCGUCAAAAAUUUUUUUGAAGUCAGCGGUCAUGCUUUCAUUGAGUUAUCAACAAAUCAAAGACUUAGUAAAAUCAAUAAAUCACUGAAGCUACCAGUCUUAAACCCUGCCAGUAUUUCAAGAACGCAAACAUUUCUUGGAGCCGCUACCAUCAAGUCAUCUGUCUCAACUUGUCAAACGGAACGAAGAGAAUUAGUUGACAGUAACAGCGUUAAAUCAGAGACCAACUCUCAACCAUCUUUUAUUCGUAGUUUGUCAGCAUCUGAGUCAGAAUCCUGGUCUGAUGACUUAGAAAAUGAAGCAACUGCUCACUUACUCGCCAAUUUGACACAUAUAGACGAUGUGUUGUAUUGCACUUCACCAGUUACAAGUAACCAAGAACUAUUUCACGAGAUCAAGCUAUGGCAAAGCCGUUUUCCUUUUUUAAGGGUGGUUGGCAAAAAAGUGAAGAUACUGGACAACAGUACCAACAUCAACCAAGAAACCAAUAGAGAGAAAGAAGAAAUCAUUUUCAAUGACGCUAAUCUCACUAGUACUGACCUUGAACCAGUAACAUCCAACUCAGGGAAUAUUGUACACCUGAAAAAGCAACUGAGAAGGUCCGUGAUAGAUCAUCUGACAACUCACUUCAUUUAUGCCAUGAAAGAUGAAAUAAUUCAGUGUUCGAAACAUAAAAUCUGUAAACCAGCAUCCAAAGUAAAUAAAGCUCCAAAUAAAAUGUCUGACAUUAAUGACAAUAGUCUGCGAGUACAUGAUUUGGAUAACAUUUUGAAUAUUUCACCAAUAUCACUCAAGGCAACAGGGCCAAAAUCAAAUUACUUAUCUUCGUUUUCAACCAAUAGAGUGAGAAAUUCACAGGUAAAAUCCUCUGUUAGUCAACCAAUCCAUCUUCGCAUGGAGCAGAGAACAUCGACCAAAAUCACUCAACAACCCUUCAGAAAUGCAACCGAUAAUGUGAAAAUCAGUAUCGUGGCAAAUUUAAGCAGAACUUCCAAGCCUGCCAAAAAGUCUCUCGAACUGAAAUUGAGGAAGGACAACCUGAAGACCUCCAAAAAUAUCGAAUCAUCAACUUCAAAUCGAUCUCGUUUUUGUACCCUGCCACCGUUGAAAACUCCUGGACUUCGCCCUACCUCAGCUGUAUACAGUAGCUUCAAAAAGCUUCCCAGCGAUUCUAGACCAACGUCAUCUUUCAUCCUUGCUCCUUCAUCGCUAAUGAAUGAAUCUUCGGAAAACGAUUUAUCUUUAUGAACUGAAGAAAUUCAAACACUUUUGAGGUAAAAAAAUCCCUGUAACUUGUAAUAGCAUCCAUGUAAUUGCUCUUAGUCUUCCUAUUUUGAAGUCAUAGCAUUUUUCCUAGGGAGGAACAAAACUUCUUGAGAUCGCCGAAAAAAUGAACUUUCUGCUGGACAUUAAUUCAAACGCUGUUUUAAACCAGUCCUACUGAAAAGCUGAAAAUUGGCAUUUUUAAUGAACCCACCGCAAUGUGUGUUCCUUCAUUAGUCUACAAAGGAAAAAACAAAGAAUCUAUUUUUCUGUAAUAUUCUGUGUGUGAGGAAAACCUACACACAUAAAAAAGUCUGGGAAUGUACGGUGGGAUUAGCCAGGGAAUUCCACAAGCAGUAUGUCGGCACAACAACAGCAGGUAGCAUUCAAGAAAGUGCAAACAACUUACAAGUGCCUUUUCGAUGAUUUUAUUCUCCAGAAGUGGAAAUUUUGUCCUAAGUUUAGCAAAAGUCAUCGCAACUGAAAGGAUAAACCUAAGUGGUAGUUUUGUAAAAAGGUCUAGAAAAGUCAAAGGAUUUGGAAGUUUUGAAGUCAGGUAAAGUGAA